Molecule: long non-coding RNA, 515 nt
Organism: Oreochromis aureus
Lineage: Eukaryota; Metazoa; Chordata; Actinopteri; Cichliformes; Cichlidae
Source: Ensembl
UCGAUUUGUAGUUGAGCAUGAAAUUGCACUGCAACUGAUCGGGUAUAAAGUACCAGAGAAAGUAGAUUUAUUGUUCAUUUGUUAUCAAUGACUUGGUCUAGUUCACCAGCUUUAAAAAAUCGUGUCUACGUGCAAUUUAUGUAUAGUUGACCGGGAAAUUAAAGCAGCAAUCACUUGGACUAUUUCGCAGCACCCCUCUCACAUUGGUACAUCCCCCCAGGUAUUCAUUGUCUUCUACAGUAGAGCGGGACAUUUGAUUUACUCUCAGCGGAAUUGACCGGAGAAGGCACCAGUUCAUGCACUGCACUGGCCCGCACCACGAUUAGUAUAAGGCACAUUUCACGAAGCAGAACGCAGUCUUCAGAGAUAUCCACGUGAACGCUGUGAUACUGACCUUCAGUCCGAAGAAGAAACCCAGACCAGUCUUAAAAGAAAGCACAAACCAAAUGCCCUGUACACAUAUACGGACUCAGAGGAUGAGCAGCCUACAAAAAAUGGUUUCCCCAGGCCCUUCG